GCAGACUGAGGCACCCCUCAGAGCUGAUGUCCAUAGUCAAAUCUCCUGCAGGCACAGUAACUCCAUCUCCUCUAUCUUUCUAUGAUGUCUGACGCCGCCUGUGUGGUCGAGCCGUGCCAGGGGUAACAACCUUGGUGCCGCCUGCAGCAGCAAGGCCAUCCCGAUUUGCGGUGGGCUCUGGUGAAAACCAGUGGCACCUUAGACUCUGCUCCCUGGUACAAUCCGAGUCAUCUGCCACACACGUCCAGCGGAUCCACAUGCACCGGGGUUCCUGUCUUCAGAAACGUCUUCGCUCAGUGACAUAUCCCCAUCCGGGAUCCCUGGUUCACACUGGGGACCAUUUCUACCAUAGUGUGCUCUCUGCUGACACCUCUGUCCAUGUAAUGAACUGUCCAGAGUAGAAGCAUUUUCAAAUCUAUACAACUUUCCGACACCAGUUGAUUUAAAACAAAUAGUUUUCCACCAGAGUACCCCUUAAAGACUUUGAUAAGUCUUCUCUAUUGUUCUUUUUUACUCCAGGUUGAAGAAGGCAGUUGCCGAGACUUGACUUACAACAUUUUAACUUUAAA
This is a long non-coding RNA of Hyla sarda, 569 nucleotides long. RefSeq lists it as uncharacterized. NCBI's taxonomy places the organism in Eukaryota, Metazoa, Chordata, Amphibia, Anura, Hylidae. The record is from RefSeq and is a predicted model, not a curated record. The transcript has 4 exons.